UAGCUCAGUGGGUAAAGAAUCUGCCUGAAAGGCAGGAGACCCAGGUUCGAUUCCUGG
RNAcentral lists this transfer RNA (57 nucleotides) under Ovis aries (sheep). It matches the Rfam family "tRNA", at positions 8 to 63 of the family's 71-position model. From Rfam's summary of the family: Transfer RNA (tRNA) molecules are approximately 80 nucleotides in length. Their secondary structure includes four short double-helical elements and three loops (D, anti-codon, and T loops). Further hydrogen bonds mediate the characteristic L-shaped molecular structure. tRNAs have two regions of fundamental functional importance: the anti-codon, which is responsible for specific mRNA codon recognition, and the 3' end, to which the tRNAs corresponding amino acid is attached (by aminoacyl-tRNA synthetases). tRNAs cope with the degeneracy of the genetic code in two manners: having more than one tRNA (with a specific anti-codon) for a particular amino acid; and 'wobble' base-pairing, i.e. permitting non-standard base-pairing at the 3rd anti-codon position. Lineage: Eukaryota; Metazoa; Chordata; Mammalia; Artiodactyla; Bovidae. The record is from Rfam by way of RNAcentral.